Actinia tenebrosa (Australian red waratah sea anemone) is the source of this 895-nucleotide long non-coding RNA. NCBI's taxonomy places the organism in Eukaryota, Metazoa, Cnidaria, Anthozoa, Actiniaria, Actiniidae. The record is from RefSeq and is a predicted model, not a curated record.
AUCAACUCUACCAACCAAUACCUUAGAUUUUGCUAGAGUYGUGUCCAAGCUUUUGUAGUUUUGUUCAUUGUGUUUAUUUGUCAGUCUAUAAUUGUAGUGUUCAGGACACAAUUAAUCCGACAAUCCGCUGAUUGGAAACGUAUUUUCUUCCGGACUGCUAAGCUUGUGUGGGAAGGUACUGUGUUCUAAACUCCAUAAAUAAGGCUGUUACGGAGACCUACGAACAGACCACCCGAUAGCUAUUCAAGCACGAACAACUCUUUCAAGCAGCGAAAAGAUUCUUAUUAGCUUAUAGUUCAGGAUGAAUAGUGGAAAAAUCGCAUUUCUUUUAGUCCUUAGUAUCAUAGUGGUAUCAACUAUAGUCCAAGACGUUGAUGGAGUAAUUUCCACUCUAACAGUGAACAGACCCAAAGUGCAGAAGCCAAAAAAGGCGGGAAGGAAGGCGACUGGGACGUCGUUUCGCGGUCGACGACCCGCAAAGUAUAUUCGACCGACCAACCCGAUAUCCCAACGAAUAAGAUGGCGACAUAUGGAAGGACCUUACGAGAUUUACAAUAUUUGAUAAACGAUUUCUAGCCAUUGAAAGUAAGAGCAAAACAUUUCUGAAAAACGUACGGUCUUGAAUCAAAGAUAUUUUUAUUAGAACAAUCGAUUUGUGGAAAAACGCUUUGGCAAUUGCGGAAUCAAGAACCGAAGAAACAAGAUUGAUUGAUGAUGAUUCUUAUUUCUAUAAAAAAAAUGAAGGAAAACUUAAAUCAUUUACUAAUGGGGUUGCUUCUGCUUCCUUUCUCUCUUAUGAAAGAGGAGCAGUUAUGAUACGACGAAUGAAAAAAUGGCAGUACAAUGAUUGUAAAUCUUCUGAAAGAAAAUAAAAGAUGCUUGAACCAAAGCUUAA